RNAcentral lists this ribosomal RNA (253 nucleotides) under uncultured bacterium. RNAcentral's name for it is "partial 16S ribosomal RNA". It matches the Rfam family "Bacterial small subunit ribosomal RNA", at positions 524 to 776 of the family's 1533-position model. The record is from RNAcentral.
UACGAAGGGUGCUAGCGUUGUUCGGAAUCAUUGGGCGUAAAGCGUGCGUAGGCGGUUUGGUAAGUCGACUGUGAAAGCCCCGGGCUUAACCUGGGAACUGCGUUUGAUACGGAUGGGCUAGAGUUCGGGAGAGGAGAGUGGAAUUCCCAGUGUAGAGGUGAAAUUCGUAGAUAUUGGGAAGAACACCGGUGGCGAAGGCGGCUCUCUGGACCGAGACUGACGCUGAGGCGCGAAAGCGUGGGGAGCAAACAGG